UCGGCUAUUUCUUCUAUGUUAAUAAUAAGCUCCAACAUAAAAUUUUAAAAAUUAAGAAAACACAAAAAAAGUAAAUCGGCAAUUACAAAAAUUAAGAUAAAAUAAGUGAUAGGAACAAAAAGAAGGACGCCAUAGGCGGCCCCAAUCGUUUCACUUGUUUUCCUUCUAUCCACAAUAUUCUAAGGAUAUAUGUCAUGUAUUGACUCUAUUUGAUGGUGAUGAGACUCCAUCUUUACGAGUCCCGAAGACUCCAUAUGUGGGUAUUGGAGUCUAGCAUUAAGACUCCAUUAUGCUCCAAAAUGUACAUGUAAAGGAAGAGAGAAAUAAACAAUUGGCAAAAUAACGUAAGAGUUCAAUUAACAUAUGCAAGGAUAAGAAGGAUUAGAGAGUGGAACUUGAUUCUUAACAAUAUAUCAAGAUUAAAAUAUGCAAAGACGUCCUAGUGUCAAAUUAUUUUAUGAAAUUCCAGCCAUACUUCUUGUCAUCAGACAAACACACAACUAUAGGAAAGAUAAAUAUUUCCAGCUAUUUAUUUAGACUAGUAGCAAAAACUCUCAAAUGACUAAAAUAUAAACUUCCAAUGAUAAUCACACAGCAACAUGGACAUAUUUCAUCAAGACGUAAAUUUUAUCUUAACAAAGUCAUCGACACUUUUAAAUCCAAAUACUAACCAGCAAAAAGAAAUAGGCACAAAAGUUCUAUAACUAUGUUUCCUAAAGAAAGAAUUUUGGAUACCUAAUACUAAAGUAAAUCAAGUCUUCACUUAACAGUGUGCAUUUAAAUAAAUCUAUUCUUAAACAAAUUGUGAAAUUUUAAGCACGAUAUUUAGGAAAAAGGUUUUGAAUCACAAUGGCAAAUAAAUCUUUUACAGGGCAACUAGUUCAUGAUAAAAUCCUUCUUAAAUUUAUGGCAUCUAACAGAGAAGUAUGCAAAAGGGAAUAAGUAUUUUCAUGUGAGCAUUUCAUCAAAUAUAUGUCGGGCAUGCUUUUAACAAUACACACCAGAACAUAAUCUCCUUACAGGAUUACUGCUAAUAACUUUAGUCACAGAUCAUUCCCUUAAAUAAACAUGUACAUAAAAGCUUAAUAGAAGCUAACAAUCCUCGCAACAAACACGCAUCAGACAUCAAAAAAUCAGAAUCAAAACGAGAGUAAUAGGAGAAGAUACAGACCUUUUGCAGGACAUCGAACUGAGACGGGUUAGAUGCGAUAUCGAACUCCGACCUCAAACUCGCUACCUUAGACGAUUGUUAGUCGCCGGAAUAAGCAAAUAAACCAUUGUAAUGGCUAAAAAUACAAAGAGAGCUAGAGAACUUUGUUUUUUAAUUAGAGGAAAGGAAAUGCAUUAACAGAGGUGGCUGAAAACUCUCGACUUUAGGGUGAAAGUGGGCGGCUCUAGGGCUUAAGGUUAAAGAAGGGGGUCGAAGCUUGUGGGUUUAAAGAGAGGUGCAACGGCUCCAAAAGAUCCUUUUCCAAUAUAUUUCAAAUACAAGUAUUUAUAGGUGAAGAAGUAGGGUUCAUGGGCGGGAUUUUUACCUCUAACGUUUGAAAUUAAGAGCGUGGAGUUUCGAACGGUAAAAUAGUCGUUCAUCAUUUAAUGAGCGAGAUUUGAGCAGAUUUGUUUCAAAUUAAUACCCAAAAUGGUUGGGAUGUUGUGCAGCAAGAAAAAGAAAAAAAAUGGAGAAACUCCAUGUGACCAAAGAGAGAGAAAAGAUCCCAAUUUAGAC
RNAcentral lists this long non-coding RNA (1726 nucleotides) under Nicotiana tabacum (common tobacco). Its description in RNAcentral is "long non-coding RNA (NTAB_LNC018114)". The record is from RNAcentral. Lineage: Eukaryota; Viridiplantae; Streptophyta; Magnoliopsida; Solanales; Solanaceae.